CUACGGGGGGCAGCAGUGGGGAAUAUUGGACAAUGGGGGAAACCCUGAUCCAGCAAUGCCGCGUGUGUGAAGAAGGCCUGCGGGUUGUAAAGCACUUUCGGUUGGGAGGACUGCUUCUAGCACUAAUAUUGUUGGAAGUUGACGUUACCUUCAGAAGAAGCACCGGCUAACUCCGUGCCAGCAGCCGCGGUAAUACGAAGGGUGCAAGCGUUAAGCGGAAUUACUGGGCGUAAAGCGCGCGUAGGCGGCUAGAUCAGUCGGGUGUGAAAGCCCCGGGCUUAACCUGGGAACUGCAUCCGAUACUGUCUAGCUUGAGUGCAGGAGAGGAGAGUGGAAUUCCACAUGUAGCGGUGAAAUGCGUAGAUAUGUGGAGGAACACCAAUGGCGAAGGCAGCUCUCUGGCCUGAUACUGACGCUGAGGUGCGAAAGCGUGGGGAGCAAACAGGAUUAGAUACCCGUGUAGUC
Molecule: ribosomal RNA, 465 nt
Filed under: uncultured bacterium
Lineage: Bacteria
Description: partial 16S ribosomal RNA
Rfam family: Bacterial small subunit ribosomal RNA
Source: RNAcentral